AACACAUGUAGUGAGUCUGGUGAGAGGGGUUCCCCCAGCACAAGCCUCUGCAUCACAUGGGGAUGGGAAUAUAUCUUCAUGGCUCGUGGCUUCUGUGAACAUGCUCGUCAUUCCCUGAUGGUAGUUUCUUAAGAUCCUCUUUUUUUCCCCACAAAUUCUGUCUUUUAUGAUUGUUGGCUUUGAAAAGAAGAGAAACCCUGCUAAUAUUUCUGUAAUAAAAAGAUUGGCAGCUGAGCAAUGACUUCUGAUUUGAAUUAACUGAUGUUGGAUGAUCCCUAUGUGCCUUACAUCAGUUUUCAGAACUGCUGUGGUAUUGUGGUUUUAAAAAAACUCCUAUAUACUUUUAAAAAUAAUUUUUGCAACAGAACGUUUAAAUAGGCCAUUGAUUUGCUAUUUUGAUUUUAAAUGCUUGUUGUAAGCAGUUGACCAAACCUAGAUCCUUGUGAUAUCAAUGUAUGUAGGACAUGAAAACUUUGGAGACUCUUGUUCCUAAGUAGGUAGGUGGCAUUUACAGAGCGAGUAACUGGAUGUUCUGAAAAACAAACCCAACCAACUCUCAAACAUUUUCAAUCUGUGUAGAGUGCCUUUGCUCCCUACUGCUCUGGCCUGUUUCUGUAUCCAGCUGAGAGAUACUUUGAGGCCAAUUAAUUUUUGCAGCAGGAUUUUGAAAACCUGCUAAUGAAAAAAGCACGCAUGGUAUGAAACAAAUAACUACAAUUGCAAUAGCUGGGAGUUUAGCAGGACUUGAGUGGGCCAGGGCAGAGAGAUUUUGAAGGAAUCCAGGCUAGCAUAUACCUUCCUGGUUUCAGGAGAUUUUUCUUCUCUUUCAUCCUCUUGUUUUGGAUGCUUGUCCAUUUAGACCCUUCCAUGUAAGGCAUCCUAAGGGUUCCUAAGGGUUUUGAGGGACAUGUGAGAACUUUAUGCUUCAAGGUAUAAGCCAAGCUUACAGUUGAUAAGGAUUAGGAAGAAAGUUCAUUUGAGAAGAUAUUUUUCCAUAAUGUAGACCUUCUGACACAUUUUUUUAAAGUAGCUGUUACUGCCUUCUGAGAAAGAUGGCAUACAGGACAAAUUGGCCCUUUGAUCCAGUAUGUUAUUUUCUCAUCUCUAAAUGUCCCUUAAAGCAAAGUCUUCAGAUUUAUUUCUAAGAUAUUGGUAAGAUGCUUUCUUUAUCCCAAGGCAUUAUGUUUAGACAAACAGUUUCUAGGUUUUUUUGGGAAACAUUCUUCCUCUGCAGAUCACAGCUGUGCUGUUUGCCUUCCUGGUGCUUUGUGUUUGCCUUUCUCUGCUGCUCACCUCAGUCACGAGAUGAAGGAUGUUUCUGCAUUUCAUUCUGGAGUGCCAGAUAUGCUGUGGUCUGCUGGGGGAUCCUCUGCACUCUGUACUUUAAGAUAAAGCUGCUUCUCUGUGCUGAGAGUGCCCUGGAAAAGAUUGGCCAGGAGGAUGACUAUCCUUUCCUUAAAAUUCCUGAAUUCCUGGGAUUCUCUGCUCCCCAGUCCUGUAUUGUAUGCUAGUAUGUAUUGAUCAUCUCUCCUAGGACGGAUGCCUGCAGCUAAAAAAGCUGAGAUGGAGCAGAUGGGGGGCUGGUGAUGAGCAGGAAAAUGGAAAGUAUAUGAUUUUUAUGUUAUAGCAAAUUAAUAUUUGCAGAGACAAAGUAUUUGAUCUGAUAACAGAGGUUCACUUGAAAGAAGCAAGGUUAUUUUAUGUCAAUUUUCUCUUUGCCCUAUAUAAGAUGCAUUUAAUUAUUUCAUGCUAUCUCCUUCUAUUCAAAUUAAUCUGCCUUAUAUAUAUUGUUGCUCAAAUUACAAUAAUUCUUUAAUCAGCUGUGUUAUGCAUACCAUAGAAGGCUAGAAUAGGAAAUCUACUCCUAGCGUACUGACGAUGCAUGUAUUUUAUUUGUUGUUGUAAUUUAAAAGUAAAAUCAGAAAUAUUGAUUUCUACUUGACUGGAGAGAUGAUUUAGUUUGAAUAUCAGACUGAUCUUAAUCAGGUGAGAAUUAAUUGAGUUGGAGGUAUUAGAUAUUCAGUGAUGUUAACUGAACCAUGAGCAAUCUACAGAGAAGCUUUCAUUUGUACUGUGUUGGAAAUAUCAAAUAGCUCAUACUCUACAAUGUAAAACAAUCUCUUCAUGUUCAUGCUACUACUUCCUCUGGCUCAUUAAAUGCACCAGUAAUCUGUUCUGUGCAUACUGAGUCAUCUUCAAAGUAACAAGCUAAUGAAUCAUAAUUUAAUACAAAAUUAAUACAAAAGCAUUAUAACUACCCUUAAAAAUGUUGCUGGUAAUGUUUUCGAUCAUUUAAUGGAUUUUUGUACACCUUUUGCAAUUGUAGGUUUUAAAAUUUUGCCCUUGUUUAGAUUUUAAAGGGAGCUGUUUCCUCCUCCUGCUAUCAUCCCCAAAUCCCCAUUGUUAUUUGGGCAUCUUUUCUCAGUGGUACAGCCAAAGGAAUGACCCAAACACUGGACAAAACUUUUUUUUUCUUUUUGUUUUUCUUUUUUUUUUAUUCUAUGUAGAGGGAAAAAAGCGACCCCAGAAUCAGUCUGGUCUGGAUCAUGAUGGAAGCUGGGUUUUUUUUUAUUUUUUUAUUUUAAGAGUGUGAUAGCAGUAUCAUAAGUGUUGAGAAAAUAUAAAUGGUGAGAUAACACCUCUGUAGGACUUUCUCUUAAGUAGUAAAAUUGUAAAGUCUUUAAAUAAACGAGAGCCAGACCCGAGAGGAUCAAUUUAUCUUGAUAAUGGGAAAUAUUUCAUUUAUUUUGUGUACAAGCACAUCUGCAAAAUAGAUGCAGAAUUAUAACUGAUAAAACUACAGUUCCAACAUUGUAUGAAAUGUACAACACUUCACAAUAUGAGACAAUAUGAAAGUGCCAAGUACUUUUAUAAUCUGAAUCUGCAAAAAAGGAACUUUCAGAAAUAGCCUUCAUGCUACAAACAGUUCAUACUGUUGAAAAUAAUGAGGAUGAUUCCUUCGUGUUAUAUCAACACAGUUUCCAUGCAGCUACUUGUCUGUGGAUAAGUCCCACUUUUUAUUCUUCUCUUACUUUGCACAUGGGAAGAUUUCGAUGUAUGCAGGAAGAAAUAAUUAACUAUCUAAUAUUUUAAAAUAUUUUAAGUAAAGAGAAAAAAUCCGUUAGAAAUCUGCUACAAAUAUAAUCUGAUGCUUGUUGUUCCUCUUUAUUAAAUUGCGAAAAACCUCCUCCGACCUUCAGUUUGUUUUUAAGCUUGUGGCAGGACAUAACAUGGUUUUUUUCAUGAAGUCUUUCCUUUACAUACACAUAACUGAAACUUCAGCAGUCCAACACACCUACUCCACCAUUUCAUUUUGAAUACAGCACAGUGAAGAAACCAGCUGAAUUCUGUUUGAGUGUGGGAUGGUAUUGUAGGGUACCUAAGGAACACUUACAUCAUAAAUAUGAUGCCUUGUUUUUGUUGUCCACUGUUUGUAGUCCUGCAGACGCUGAGAUUAACAGUGUUAAAUUUAACCUUGUCUGGUUUAAUGGUGUGCAAAAAAAUCAUCAUCUUUAUUCUGCAGAGCUGUGCCUAUGUCUUAUGCCAGAUGUUGGUUUGUCCCUUUGACUCAAAAUCCUACAAGUUUUAUAUUUUUGUCAUAGGGAGCAAAUAUUUCUGGAACCUAUGAAUAUGUUCUAAAGUUAAAAUGGGCAGGACCCUGGCUUUUUAUCUCCUUUUUUUUCUUAAUUAGGACUUGUAUGUCCCAGGACAUCUGUUGGUGGACACCCACCAACUUUGUUGUAAAUUUCUGGUAAUGUAUCUGACCUUUUCAAAUUAAUACUUAGUGUGUGUUGCAUAUGCCUGUCUGACUGCUUGAAUAGACAGGGAAAUAACUUGUCCAGUCUUUACUCUGGGAUAAGUGAACUGUUAGCCAGUUUCACUUCAGUUUCCAUCUGCUUCUCAUAUUAUCUUGUGGUAAAGUCAUAAAACAGAGUUGGGGAAAAGCAAUUAGAAAUAUUAAAGAAAAACAUUCUUCUUAGAUGCUGGUUUUUCCAGCAAAGAUUAGUGUGGACUGUAAAAAUCUUUGUAAACAAAGUGUUCUUUACUGUGCCAACCUAGCUAAUUAUCAAAGAAACCUUAAUAAAAAGAGUGCUCUGUAAAGAAGUUUUUAAUCAACCAUCAAAUAUACUAAGUCGGGGACUCAAAACUAAUUCUUCAUGCCUCCAACAUAAUUUGUAUGAUUCUGUAUCUGAAGGGAAUUACAGAAAGACUUGGAAUGGGAUUUUUAUUAAAAAAACGCAUGUCUGUCCAGUUUAUAGAUAAAUUAAGAAGGCUUAAAAAAGCCACUUUUUUGCUGUUCUGUAACUUUACAUAUGUCAGGACCUAAUUUCUCCUAGUUCUUUGUGUCGUGCUUUUUCAGGUGGGUAAGCUGGGAUAGGAAGACCCAGUGAAAUGCAGCUCUUGGAUCCAGGGCAGUGCCACAGGCUCUGGAGGUGCCAGGGACCAAACUCAGCAGCUUCUCUGAGCUGCUCAGGGCCAGAGAUGCUCCCUGCUGAAGAGUCAGUCCUUGGAAGGACUCACUCAUCUCUGGCCUCCGCCAAAAACCCCUCCUGUCUCUCCCUGAAAAUGUGGUCUUCCCAUCAUAGGCAGAUCCCCUGCACAUGCCAGCAUGCCCUAGUGAGCAGGUGAGAACUGGCAAAACUGAAUUGCUCUGUAUUCAGACAUGGCUGUUCAGCUUUUGUUCAGUUGACUGCAGACCUCUGUCUUGGCAAAGAUACAUUCUGGCCUUACAGACUUGGUUGAUUUAGAAAAGGUACUAAAUUGCAGGCUUGCUUCAGCAGUUAAAAUCUCUCUAUGUGGCUGUAAUGGCCAGAAUGUAAUGAGACUUCAAAUUCUCUGAACUGCGACCAACACUUAUUUUGCAUUUGCCUUGCAACAGAAAUACAAAGCUUUCUUCAUGAGAGAAAAAGAAGAUAUCCAGCCUUAAAUAAGUGUUGAGCUGUUCAGUGAAGUCUGUCUGAGCCGUACACUUGAGAAGAGAUCUUUGCUCCAUGUGCAUCUCCUUAGACAGAGCCUGUGGCACAGAGAGGAGCCUGUAGGGUAACCUAUGUCAGAUAUGAUGUCAUGAACCAUGACUGCUGCAGGUGAAAGAGGGGUCUGUGGCCAGUUUCCGUGGUAACUGGUAGGCACCUGCAGCUUGCUGACGCAGUAGUGGAUCUGUCCUUGUCUGUGCACAGAGCAUUCAGUGAUGGACAUAUGUAGCUGUCCUAGAAAAGCCUUGGCAAAGGGUUGAUUUGAUGGAGGCCAAGCCUUUUCCCCUUUCUUACCAGGCAUUUUCAUUUCCGUGGUGUUGAGCUCUGUUUCUCAGUUUAUUUGGCUUGUAUUUGGAAAUAUUGGAGAUAAAUUUUAUUGUUGAAAAUAUGACUUUCUUUUGUUUGCAAUUAAUUUGCAGACUGGCCCGAAUUUACUUCUUGUUUUGCUCCUGCUUGAAGUUUUGUUUUGGUACCUUGCUGCUUGCAGAAAGAAAGAAAACGUAUCAGCCCAUGAACUUCUAAAGCCAUGGAAAGCUGCUAUCUCCUGAACUCAUAAAGAUAGUACCAUACACAACAUUAUGAAAAUAUCAGUUCUGUUCUUUCUAUAAUGUGCAGUGUAUCAGGAAGAAGGUUUGUUUGGAUUCUUUAGUAUUCUGAUUACCUCUCAUAGCUGCUAAAGUGUUAAAUUACAAUAGUUUUGUAAUCCGAUCCUGUGUAUCUGCUCCUUUUGUGGUGUCUUGCUAUGCAUCCUGAAAAUUUGGUCAACAAUGCAGAUAUUGCCUGAGUGAGGAAAGACUAAGGCUUGUCAGACAUGGAGAUUAAUUCUUGGUUUGAGAUAUCUGCAACUAUUGAGCACUAUUUCCGACAUUAUUCUCCAAUGAGUAGUUUAAACACUGUUUGUGCUGCUGAGCCUUGACACAUUUCAUUUCAUGGAAGAGCCAUAGGAUCAUGGAAUAAGCUGAGUUGGAAGGGACCCAUCAGGAUCAUCAAGUCCAACUCCUGGCCCUAUUGGGAACACCCCUAUCACACCAUGUGCCUGAGACCAUUGUUGCAAGGCUUCCUGAACUCAGGCAGGUUUGGUGCUGUGACCAUUUCCCUGGGGAGCCUGUUCCAGUGCCCAGCCACCCUCUGGGUGGAUAUCUUUUCCUGGUAGCAAACCUAAACUAGCCGUGACCCAGCUUCAUGCCAUUUCCUUGAGGAGAGUGAAAAGAUUGGUACUUGCCCCUCUGUGAGCAAGGCAAAGCACAAUUUAAAAAAAAAAAAAUUCUCCACAUCCUGGAGGGUUUCUGGUUUCUAUAACUAAAUCUGUCUUGCACUCCUUACAUGACUGCCAAACAGAAGAGAUGGAUAAUCCAAGUUUUGUGUGCUCAUAUAAGGAAGCCUAAUAUGCUUUAACCUUCUUUCUUCCUCUCUGUUGUUAAGCAUCAGUAAUGUUAAAGCUAAACAGCUGGAAGCAGUUUUAUCACUUUGCAACAGUGCCUGGCCAUGUACCACAGACAGGGCCUUCUGAAGCCAGGGAAUGCUGGCAAUUGCAGUUCAGGCUUUUUUUCUUCACUGGGACAUCACGCCUUUAACCAAUCAAGACUGGUGAGUUAACAAGUGAGAGGGACCUCCUGUUGUCUUCAGUGGUUUUUUACUUCACAGCUUCCAGAAGAAAUGAUUACUACUACAAAAAAAAAAACCCAACCCAAAACCUCAGCACAGCACUUAAAGAAGUGCCUGUAGAGAGUAUAAAUCAUGUUAGACAGACCAAAAGCUUUCAAAAGCUUUGGAUGUUUUUCCCACAAAAAACAAAGGUCAUUUUUAGAAAUGUACUAAUAGGUAUGAUUUUUCUGAGAUGCUGGUGUAGGAAUAGUCAAUACAAAUAGACCAGAAAAGAAUGGAAGAAAUGUCAGAUUCACCCUUGAAAACCAAGAAAUAUUCUGAUAACCUAAUAACACAUUUGCCUUGUUGUGAGCUUAAACAGCUUAGUAAACUUGAGCUGUCCUGGUGUUUCCUCAAAGCUGUGCUUAUGCAUUUGGAUGACUUUAAGUCUAAAACACAUAGAUCUUAGAAACUGGGUGUGGUUGUUAAUAGAUACCUUUGAGCACAGGUUACAGUAUCUUCCCAGGUGGUAAUUAACUGGUUAACUUAAACCCAUUUUCUGCACACUUUCAUCUGGUUUUCAUGUAGGGUGUGGUGGAGUUGCCAGUGUGUAGUGCUGGGUGCUGUGCUGGAGACGGUUUUUAAAUGUUCGUAAUAAAUAAUAUGUUUGAAGUAGGUAAGAAGUCAGUUCUUUGCAAAGUUUCACAGUAUAAGGACACUGAAAUCUGUCAUUGCCACUUUCAGCAAACACUUCCUUGUCUUGUAAAUUAUUUUAGUGAAAGCCUAAUUAAUAAUAGCUGUGGACAAGCAGAUUAAUCUCACCUAGGGAUUGCCUGCAGCUGUUGGAUCACUUCCUCAAAAUCUUGCCAGUAGUGUCCAGGAUCCUAGAAGUCUUAAGAUCCCUAAAACAGGUACUUUCACUUCAUUGAGCAACUUCAUUGUUCUUAAAUGCCAGAGAUGUAGGUGG
This is a long non-coding RNA of Passer domesticus (house sparrow), 7524 nucleotides long. RefSeq lists it as uncharacterized. The record is from RefSeq and is a predicted model, not a curated record. The transcript has 2 exons. NCBI's taxonomy places the organism in Eukaryota, Metazoa, Chordata, Aves, Passeriformes, Passeridae.